This is a long non-coding RNA of Archocentrus centrarchus (flier cichlid), 632 nucleotides long. RefSeq lists it as uncharacterized. The transcript is spliced from 4 exons. Lineage: Eukaryota; Metazoa; Chordata; Actinopteri; Cichliformes; Cichlidae. The record is from RefSeq and is a predicted model, not a curated record.
ACUCAUUCAGUGUUCAUCCCUUCAUUUUAGCUCUCCAAAGAGUUGCUGUGUCAGGCUUCUGAUGUGGAUGCCUGCAGAUCAUUUUCGGGCAACUCACCAGAGGACUGUGAUCAUGAUCUUGUCCCUGACAAAAUGUCAAGUUUAGAAAAAUGUGUUUCAUGUGGAGGACCUUUUGCACCUCUGAAAUGGAGUGGUGUGAGAUGUAAAGUUUGCAACCAGUCCUGGCACAAAAAGUGUUAUGUUAAACACAAGGUGGACAUCACUGAACUUCUGCAAGUGGUCUGUACAGAACCAAGUUCAAGUGAGGUGGUAUCAUCAGAAGAGGAGUAUGUUCCUGAUUCCAUAGAUGAUUCAAACAGCUCGUGCGAUGACAGAUCAGAGCCUUUAAAAAUCAGUUACAAACAAGUACAGAAUUGUGAGGUCUCCACCAGCAAGUCUUCUUCCAAAAACAAAAGACACCACCAAGAAAGUUUUGUAGAGGAAAACAGAGAGCCCGUUUCUGAAGCUGCAGAAUCAUCAACUGAAGAUAUGAUCAGCACAAGUCAGCUUGAAGUAUCAAGAGUUACUGGCAAUAUAGGAAACGCUGAUGCCGAAGACAUAUUUGUUGAUGAUGGUGCUGAUGCUAUGGCUGA